AAGUCGUAACAAGGUUUCCGUAGGUGAACCUGCGGAAGGAUCAUUACCGAAGUACAGGCCCUCUCGAGGGCUAAACUUCCACCCUUUGUUUAUUAUACUAUGUUGCUUUGGCGGAUCGCCCUUGGGCCACCGGCUUCGGCUGGUGCGUGUCCGCCAGAGACCCUCAAACCCAAACCAUUAUACGUGUCGUCUGAAAACAAGUUUAAAUUAUUAAAACUUUCAACAACGGAUCUCUUGGCUCUGGCAUCGAUGAAGAACGCAGCGAAAUGCGAUAAGUAAUGUGAAUUGCAGAAUUCAGUGAAUCAUCGAAUCUUUGAACGCACAUUGCGCCCCUUGGUAUUCCGGGGGGCAUGCCUGUUCGAGCGUCAUUAUCACCCCUCAAGCUCAGCUUGGUGUUGGGGCCUGCCCGUCACAGGGCAGCCCUUAAAAGCAGUGGCGGUGCCAUCUGGCUCUAAGCGUAGUAAUACUCCUCGCUAUAGACGUCUGGUGGUGUCCUGCCAAAACCCCCCAUAUUUUUUAAUGACUGACCUCGGAUCAGGUAGGGAUACCCGCUGAACUUAAGCAUAUCAAUAAGCGGAGGAAAAGAAACCAACAGGGAUUGCCUCAGUAACGGCGAGUGAAGCGGCAAAAGCUCAAAUUUGAAAUCUGGCUCUUUCAGGGUCCGAGUUGUAAUUUGUAGAAGAUGCUUUGGGUGUGGCUCUGGUUUAAGUUCUUUGGAAUAUUACAUCAUAGAGGGUGAGAAUCCCGUAUGUGACCAGUCGCCGCGCCCGUGUAAAGCUCUUUCAACGAGUCGAGUUGUUUGGGAAUGCAGCUCAAAAUGGGAGGUAUAUUUCUUCUAAAGCUAAAUAUUGGCCAGAGACCGAUAGCGCACAAGUAGAGUGAUCGAAAGAUGAAAAGCACUUUGGAAAGAGAGUUAAACAGUACGUGAAAUUGUUGAAAGGGAAGCGCUUGCAACCAGACUUGCACGCAGUUGAUCAUCCGGUGUUCUCACCGGGGCACUCUGCUGCGUUCAGGCCAGCAUCGGUUUUGGUGGUUGGAUAAAGACCUUGGGAAUGUAGCUUCUUUCGGGGAGUGUUAUAGCCCUUGGUGCAAUGCAGCCUACCGGGACCGAGGACCGCGCUUCGGCUAGGAUGCUGGCGUAAUGGUUGUAAGCGGCC
This 1157-nucleotide ribosomal RNA is filed under the name uncultured fungus. Its description in RNAcentral is "eukaryotic LSU rRNA". The stretch from base 525 to 1157 matches the Rfam family "Eukaryotic large subunit ribosomal RNA", at positions 1 to 649 of the family's 3401-position model. Lineage: Eukaryota; Fungi. The record is from RNAcentral.